Molecule: ribosomal RNA, 590 nt
Filed under: Bacillus subtilis
Lineage: Bacteria; Bacillati; Bacillota; Bacilli; Caryophanales; Bacillaceae
Description: bacterial SSU rRNA
Rfam family: Bacterial small subunit ribosomal RNA
Source: RNAcentral
CAACGCCGCGUGAGUGAUGAAGGUUUUCGGAUCGUAAAGCUCUGUUGUUAGGGAAGAACAAGUACCGUUCGAAUAGGGCGGUACCUUGACGGUACCUAACCAGAAAGCCACGGCUAACUACGUGCCAGCAGCCGCGGUAAUACGUAGGUGGCAAGCGUUGUCCGGAAUUAUUGGGCGUAAAGGGCUCGCAGGCGGUUUCUUAAGUCUGAUGUGAAAGCCCCCGGCUCAACCGGGGAGGGUCAUUGGAAACUGGGGAACUUGAGUGCAGAAGAGGAGAGUGGAAUUCCACGUGUAGCGGUGAAAUGCGUAGAGAUGUGGAGGAACACCAGUGGCGAAGGCGACUCUCUGGUCUGUAACUGACGCUGAGGAGCGAAAGCGUGGGGAGCGAACAGGAUUAGAUACCCUGGUAGUCCACGCCGUAAACGAUGAGUGCUAAGUGUUAGGGGGUUUCCGCCCCUUAGUGCUGCAGCUAACGCAUUAAGCACUCCGCCUGGGGAGUACGGUCGCAAGACUGAAACUCAAAGGAAUUGACGGGGGCCCGCACAAGCGGUGGAGCAUGUGGUUUAAUUCGAAGCAACGCGAAGAACCUU